AUAUAUGUAUGUAAAUACAAAAAAUAUCUAUAGAAAAAGGAAUUUUGGAGAAAAAUCUCGUUAUUAAUAUGUCAAAAUUUUAGAAUGGUUCAUUACACACACUUACAGUAUACGUUGCUGAAAUUUGGUAUCAAAAACUGAGGUGGGGUGCCUAGGAGGGCCGCCCACCCCCAAAACCUGCCAAACGGAUUUAUAGACCUGAAAAUUGGACAUCUUUAAAUUAAUUCAAAAACUGGAAAGAAGUUUCUUUAAAAGCAAAUAAAUUUCAAUCUAUAUACAGUGGCUUUUGUUUGAACAUUCCAAAACAAUGGGUUGCGUCCGUCAGGGCGCCCCGGUAGCCGGUGGAUUCGAUUCCCCCCAGAAGCCUUGGUUUGUCGAUACUGUGGUAUCACAAUGGACUUCAAAUUGUAUAUAUGUAUAUUUUAUUGUACGAAUUAAAUUGUUAUUUAAUAGCAAAAAUGGUGCUUUGAUUAAAAUUAUAUAUAUUCAAACAUAUUUAAUGCGAAAAAAGUGAAAUUGAGUCUAAUAUAUGUCUCGCUUCUAUCAUAUACAGAAAAAAAUAUAUCAAGAGAAAU
This is a long non-coding RNA of Stomoxys calcitrans (stable fly), 575 nucleotides long. RefSeq lists it as uncharacterized. NCBI's taxonomy places the organism in Eukaryota, Metazoa, Arthropoda, Insecta, Diptera, Muscidae. The record is from RefSeq and is a predicted model, not a curated record. The transcript has 3 exons.